CUCUCAGUGACUCCUACGGGAGGCAGCAGUGGGGAAUAUUGCACAAUGGGGGAAGCCCUGAUGCAGCCAUGCCGCGUGUGUGAAGAAGGCCUUCGGGUUGUAAAGCACUUUCAGUAGGGAGGAAGGUAGUGUAGUUAACACCUGCAUUAUUUGACGUUACCUACAGAAGAAGCACCGGCUAACUCCGUGCCAGCAGCCGCGGUAAUACGGAGGGUGCGAGCGUUAAUCGGAAUUACUGGGCGUAAAGCGCAUGCAGGCGGCCUGUUAAGUCAGAUGUGAAAGCCCCGGGGCUUAAACCUCGGAAUUGCAUUUGAAACUGGCAGGCUAGAGUCUUGUAGAGGGGGGUAGAAUUUCAGGUGUAGCGGUGAAAUGCGUAGAGAUCUGAAGGAAUACCAGUGGCGAAGGCGGCCCCCUGGACAAAGACUGACGCUCAGAUGCGAAAGCGUGGGGAGCAAACAGGAUUAGAUACCCUGGUAG
RNAcentral lists this ribosomal RNA (477 nucleotides) under uncultured bacterium. RNAcentral describes it as "bacterial SSU rRNA". It matches the Rfam family "Bacterial small subunit ribosomal RNA", at positions 326 to 793 of the family's 1533-position model. The record is from RNAcentral.